Molecule: microRNA, 21 nt
Filed under: Pinus densata
Lineage: Eukaryota; Viridiplantae; Streptophyta; Pinopsida; Pinales; Pinaceae
Description: pde-miR949a
Gene: pde-miR949a
Source: miRBase by way of RNAcentral
UCUCUAGGAAUCAAAUGUGUC